GAUGAACGCUGGCGGCGUGCUUAACACAUGCAAGUCGAACGGUGAAGCAGGAGCUUGCUCUUGUGGAUCAGUGGCGAACGGGUGAGUAACACGUGAGCAACCUGCCCCUGACUCUGGGAUAAGCGCUGGAAACGGCGUCUAAUACCGGAUAUGUGAUGUGACCGCAUGGUCUGCAUCUGGAAAGAAUUUCGGUUGGGGAUGGGCUCGCGGCCUAUCAGCUUGUUGGUGAGGUAAUGGCUCACCAAGGCGUCGACGGGUAGCCGGCAUGAGAGGGUGACCGGCCACACUGGGACUGAGACACGGCCCAGACUCCUACGGGAGGCAGCAGUGGGGAAUAUUGCACAAUGGGCGGAAGCCUGAUGCAGCAACGCCGCGUGAGGGAUGACGGCCUUCGGGUUGUAAACCUCUUUUAGCAGGGAAGAAGCGAAAGUGACGGUACCUGCAGAAAAAGCACCGGCUAACUACGUGCCAGCAGCCGCGGUAA
RNAcentral lists this ribosomal RNA (484 nucleotides) under uncultured bacterium. Its description in RNAcentral is "partial 16S ribosomal RNA". It matches the Rfam family "Bacterial small subunit ribosomal RNA", at positions 28 to 523 of the family's 1533-position model. The record is from RNAcentral.